GACGAACGCUGGCGGCGUGCUUAAUACAUGCAAGUCGAGCGAGGUUACUGUUUUGGAUCCCUUCGGGGUGAAGAAGCUUUAACCUAGCGGCGGACGGGUGAGUAACGCGUGGGUAACCUACCCCAAAGUCCGGGAUAACAGCGGGAAACCGCUGCUAAUACCGGAUGCCUUUACCUUGGGGCAUCUUGAGGUAAAGAAAGGUAACGCUUUGGGAUGGGCCCGCGUCCCAUUAGCUAGUUGGUGAGGUAACGGCUCACCAAGGCGACGAUGGGUAGCCGGCCUGAGAGGGUGGACGGCCACACUGGGACUGAGACACGGCCCAGACUCCUACGGGAGGCAGCAGUAGGGAAUAUUGCGCAAUGGACGGAAGUCUGACGCAGCGACGCCGCGUGAGUGAUGAAGGUCUUCGGAUCGUAAAGCUCUGUCCUUGGGGAAGAAGGCGAAAGCUUGACGGUACCCAAGAAGAAAGCCCCGGCUAACUACGUG
RNAcentral lists this ribosomal RNA (486 nucleotides) under uncultured bacterium. RNAcentral's name for it is "bacterial SSU rRNA". It matches the Rfam family "Bacterial small subunit ribosomal RNA", at positions 28 to 507 of the family's 1533-position model. The record is from RNAcentral.